GCGUUCUGGCUCUGCCUCUGCUGCGGGACUGUUCCUGGACCACGCGGGCCGUUGUUUCCUUCCCAGAGCAGGCACAGAGUCCUUGAGAAGGGCAGUCUCUGAACGAGGGAGCCAAGAACUCAAGUCGGACAUAUGAUUGGCAGCACAUCUAGCCCCAACAGCACACAAUCCUUCAAGAUGGAAUUCCGUUGGGACCAAGGGGACCAGGAAGGAAGGUCAGAGUGAGGAGCUGUCUGAGUGUUUAAGAUCACACAGUAACAUCCUGUUUGAUGGCUUCAGAAAUCCUUCAUGAGCUGGGAGACAGCGCCCAAGGUUAC
Molecule: long non-coding RNA, 317 nt
Filed under: Theropithecus gelada (gelada)
Lineage: Eukaryota; Metazoa; Chordata; Mammalia; Primates; Cercopithecidae
Description: lncRNA (ENSTGEG00000027054.1)
Source: RNAcentral